Molecule: long non-coding RNA, 5021 nt
Organism: Phragmites australis (common reed)
Lineage: Eukaryota; Viridiplantae; Streptophyta; Magnoliopsida; Poales; Poaceae
Exons: 3
Source: RefSeq, a predicted model, not a curated record
CACCUUAUCCUUGAUGAAUGUUCCCUCUCUGCAACUUUAUUAUAUGCUUGCCCUUUGUUUGAGUCGUUUCCUACUCUUCCCUAAUCAAAAUAGGAUGAUAUGUAUCUUGAAAAGAAUUGUCAUGUUAUGGUAGGCUAUAAGUUAUUUCCUUGUUGGUUUGUAAUAACAGUGUAACAACUUUUUGACUAAUAACUUUAAAACCAAAAUUUUAGUUGCUUCUUCCAUGGAUUUCCAAUUUACUUUCUGACAAGUCUUUCUCUUAGCGUUGCUUUAAUGUUAUUUGAAUGAGUGAACAAUGUGUUCUCUCGUAUGUGCUUAUCACCAAUCUAAUAUUUGUCCCUUUGUUUGGUAUUUAUUUCAUAGUGUCGUAAAUGCAAAAGUUGAACAGAAGAAACACUAUUCUAUUAACAGUUGUGUACUUAUUUACUUUGAUUGCCUUCUUGAAUUGCUUAGGUUCCAAAGGAAGAAUGCUGGCCGCAUUUAGCUUCUGCCAUUUUGAAUUAUUUUAUUUUGGUCUGAUCAGUGUAUUAGUCACAGAACAUUGGCCUGUCUAUCUGCAUGAAUUUGAACUUGUUACAUCUUUUUAAGAUGUUAAAUAAUGGUUCUUUGAUUAGUUGAUCAUCUCGUAGGUGAGACAAUAAUUGCCUGGUCUAGAAUCCCGUGUACAAUUGGAGUUGUCAAGAGUUAAUCCCUGACAAUACUUCCGGGGUAUACCAGGCGAUAGGUGCGUGAUUGACGUGUUCGGUGUGUGUGUAUGAACUCAAGAACACCAACGUUAUCCAGGUUCAGACCUCCCAGAGGAUAACAACCCUACAUUAUGUGUAUUCUUUUAUGGAUAGUAUUAAAUUGUUUACAGAUGUGUUCCUCUCCUUCUUACAAGCCCAAUCUUCAUCUAUUUAUAUAGCAGGAGUGGUGUAUAUAUAAAUAGACUGUGCCAACAGCGUGACCGGUCUAACUCUGACGAAACCAACUACCCUUAGCUAGGGCAGGUGUGCAGAUCCUAUAUUGGUCGACUAGCCUGCCCUGUUCUGUCGCCCCACGCCGCAUGCACACCUGCGAUGCCGUUCCAUUGGUCGUGCGGCGACACGCCUAUCUGUAUAACGCUAUCCCGUAGCAUUUAAUGCUACGGGACGGGACUCUGCCCAUCUGCGUCGGUCAAGACUUUCUUCGCUGGAGGGGGUGCUUGGGGAAGGAAAACAUUUAAGUAGAUAGCAUUUAAUGCGACUUGAUAGGUCAAGAUGAAAUAUCUACCCUGCGACCAACGAGGCUGAUCGCAGGGUUUACCUCCACGACUAGGGGGUUGGUCGCGAGAGCCUUGUUUGGUUGCACGAUAGGGCCAUAGUCUUACGAAAAGAUAUCUACCGCCAGCUAGCACUCUCUUGUGCGGACUCCCCCUAACAAGGGACCUCUUUAUUCAAUACACCGACAGUAGCCCCCAAACUCUCGCGUGGAUGUGGUCGGUUGUGCAGUUCGUCAUGUGGUCGUGGUCGGACCUGGUCGCACCACUUGGGCCCUAGGUGGACAAGAGUUUAUCCCGGGAAUGGUUAUUGACACAGUCUUCCCUCGUGGUGAACCUAGGAAAACCGCAUCCUGAGGGGAGGUUAAAUAAAGAGAGAGAUCGUGGGAGAGAGAAAAGAGGAGAAUAUGGGAGAGAAAAAAAGAGACGUGGGAGAGAGACAAUGAUGGCCGUUGGACCCAAGGGAAUUUCUGCUUCUCCUGCGCGGCAUUUCAAAUUUUGAACUAUCAAGUCGCAUAUCCCGCGGCGGUUGAGAUACUGCAGCCGUCCUAUAAAUGGCGGCGUCGAUGGCUCUCCGCAUAUCCUUUUUUCAUUCUCCAAGCCCCCAACCCUUGUGCCUAGAGCCCCUUUUCUCCGUCGCUGCCCGUGCUCUCGCCAUAGCCUUUGCCACAUUCCAAUGGUGCCAUGCUCCAGUAAAGAACCUAACUUUCCCAAGUUCAAGUGCACUGCGGCAAAGAUGAGGCAGAUGCGCGAGAACCAUCUGGGGUUACCGCUCUAGGGAAGAUGCGCCUGCUCCCAAUCAGGAGGAGAUCGUUAUGUUCGCCUCCUUUCCUGCCGGCCUUAUGCCGUUCUUCUUUGAAUUCUUCACCAUCAUUAUCACCUUCUACGAUAUCUUCCACCUCCACUUAAAUCCUAAUUUCAUCAUCAUGUUGAGCGUUUUUGCUCACAUGUGCGAGAAUUUCAUAGGGGUCGAGCUGUGCCUCGAUCUUUUCAGAUUCUUCUAUACGGCCAGGUUACAGAUCGGGCUGGCCACCAGGAGCUGCGGGUUUCAACUCCACGAUGGCGUUGCGGGCUCCUACCUCGAGAUGGGCCUCAAGUCGUCGUGGUUAGGAUGGAGGGACGAGUGAUUCUACCUCCAGACAGAAGAUUAUUUGGACAAUAUCCGCUUGCCAGCCAGGCUGGUGCAAGUCACCGAGAACUAGGGGAGCGCCCCUACGGUAACUCCAGAGCUGUUGAGCCUCGCUGCUCGGGUUAAGCAGCUUGUGGACGCCAGGCUGUUGGGAUCAGACGUCGUCCGAGACUUCAUCAAGCGCCAGCUGUACCCCUUGCGAAGGAGAGCACGCCUUGCCUACUUGUACUGCGGGAGUGAGGACGACACCCGGGAGAGCUCCUCAGGUCAAAUUCCUAAUGGCAACUGCCUCGAGGAAGAAUGACCCUCUUAAUCGGAGAGGGCUCGGGUCAGAUUGGGUCUUCCCGAGGUCGAUGUCCUACGCCCGAUCAUAGACGAGGUUACGGCGAUCGCCCGACAAGUUGAUCUUGUUGCCCGCAUGUCCUCUCCGCCGCCUGGCGCCGCUUUGGUGACCGUUGACCUGGUCGUGAAGCCAACCUAGCUGGCCAUGGAGACGACCAGACUGCUCGGAGCCUGGUACCGACCGCAGGCGGUUGUUCUAGGAGCAGAACCGGUCAGCAGAAGGUCGAUCAGCACUGUCCAACCGGCCUAGCUUCGACCAACCUCGACCCGACCAGAUCGAGGGCGAUCAGGCUGCCGUUAGCCAAGUGUUCGCGCAUGGGGGGAAGAGAUCGGCGGAAGACUUGGGUUCCGUGGGAAAUAUCUAAACGCAUAUGUGGGACACCAAUCCCUGGCGGCUCGUCAGCGGCCUUGGCUUCCCCGCCCAACGGCUUUACGAGGACGAAACUUGUGCUGACUCCUACGCUAACGCGGUAAGUCCUUUGGUUAUGAGUGGAUCCUUCGAGCUCUUCCUUAACUUUGUGACCUAUAGUCACUGCAAGUCCUUAAUCCCGCCUACGACCCUAGUCGUGCCUAAUCCAUCGACACCUCAGCAAGGCGUUCCCGGCCCCCAGCCAGACGUCUCCGUUGUGCUGUAAUUUUUAGCUUUAUUAUUUUCACCCUAUGAAAAACUUGGUCUGUAGUUAAUAAAAUAGCAUAUGCGUAAUACAGUUGAAUGUAUUCUUUUUGUGGCCAAGUGCUAAUAGUUAUUAUCGCCUAGUAUCUUAACUGUUCAUCAUCAGUUAAUAUUGCACAAACACACCAUAGUACCCUUUAUUUUGAAUCUGUAUCAAUUACUUAGUUUUGUGGACAUUUGGGCAUCAGUAAUCGUUGUUUAUUAAUUGCUCAAUAUGUACAAACAUUCCUAUUCUGUCUAGAUAUUUUCUCAAUGGCCUUUCAUUGUUAAAAAUAGUUCUAUAUCUAUUAGUUUCCAUGUUGUCAGGAUUCCUAAAAGUUGGUUGUCUAAAAGAUAUGGUUUUCUGAAAGACAUGGUUUGUACAUGCACGAGACAAGACUGUUUUUCGUUGAGAAAAAUGGGUAAGGCCCUGUAUAUGAGCUAUGAAGAUGAGCAUUGUAGUCAUGGUCUUCGAAAAAAUAUGAAUAAAAUAAAAUAUUCUGGUCUCCUUAUUUUUCUGCAUUGGCUCAGAGUUUUGUAUUCACAGCCAGAGUAACAGCUUACUAUCCAGCCGAUCAUGGGUGCGGGCCCUAUCCUUUUCCAUCGGUCCAUACCCUGAUACCCAUAGCCCAAGCUCAUAGUAUCCAUGCAAAUAAUUUUUUGGAGCUUAGGAACAGAAUAUUGCAAUUGCUGAGAGUAAAACACUAGCUGAACAUAAACUCAUAAUUUUCUUCAUUUUCUUAUGUGCCUAAGCUAGUGUCAAUGCCUAUUAUUUUUUUGGAGCUUAGGAAGAAAAUAAUGCAAAUGCUGAGAGUAAAACACUAGCUGAACACAAAGUCAUAAUGUUCUUCAUUUUCUUAUGUGCCUAAGCUAGUGUCAAUGUCUUAUGUUUUCAUGAUCAUGCUGACCUAGUAAAAGAAUACUAAAGAAAAUUACACAUGUCAGUCCAUUAAGCUCACCUAAUUCCACAUGUGGUAUGUCUUAUCUAGAGUUUUCUAGAUUUGUUUGGCCAAGCUGAUUAAUGUGCUAGUAAAAUCAUACCUUGUUUUGGGUUUCCUAUCAUUUCAUUUGAAAACAUUACUUGUGUGUGCUGCUAUAUUUAGAAGCUUCAUUUAUUUUAUUCUUGGCCAGUAUUAGGGCCUUGCUGAGUGUCCUGGGCCUUGUCCUAAAGAUUAUAUUUGACUCUACAAUGGCAUAUUUCAGAAAAAAAUAUAUUUGUAUUUUGUUAGAUUGUGCAAAAUCAAUACAAUUUUUUUUAUGAAAUUUGAUUUUAUACCUGUGAGGUGGGAGAACAGUAAUGGGUUGGGAAAAUACUUUUUAGAAAACCAUGGAUAAGCAAAACUUUUGAAUGACUGCUGUUAACUUUAGUGUGUACUUAUAUAUAGAUUGGCCUCUUCAGUAUUGGUAAGAUAUAUUCGUUUGGAGAAAUAUGAUUUCUUUCUCUAUUGCUAUUUAUUCAUGGUCAUGCAUAAAAUGUUACUUGUGCUCUUUCAAAAUAAAGGAGAAAAUGGGGACCCACCUUGCUAGGAGGCGCCCUGAGUGCUUGCUUAGUUUGCUCCUGUCCAUUGAUGGGUCUGCCCAAUAAUUAUAUAACUUAUACCAGUGUAUUUAUAUUCUGUUGUGGUAAUUGCACACACUCAUCUGCAGUAAUAUGCUUAUGU